GUGUCAGCCGCCGCGGUAAUACGUAGGGUGCAAGCGUUAAUCGGAAUUACUGGGCGUAAAGCGUGCGCAGGCGGUUAUAUAAGUCAGAUGUGAAAUCCCCGGGCUCAACCUGGGAACUGCAUUUGAGACUGUAUAGCUAGAGUACGGUAGAGGGGGAUGGAAUUCCGCGUGUAGCAGUGAAAUGCGUAGAUAUGCGGAGGAACACCGAUGGCGAAGGCAAUCCUCUGGACCUGUACUGACGCUCAUGCACGAAAGCGUGGGGAGCAAACAGGAUUAGAUACCCUUGUAGUCC
This 292-nucleotide ribosomal RNA is filed under the name uncultured Limnohabitans sp. Its description in RNAcentral is "partial 16S ribosomal RNA". It matches the Rfam family "Bacterial small subunit ribosomal RNA", at positions 505 to 796 of the family's 1533-position model. Lineage: Bacteria; Pseudomonadati; Pseudomonadota; Betaproteobacteria; Burkholderiales; Comamonadaceae. The record is from RNAcentral.